AAAUUGAAGAGUUUGAUCAUGGCUCAGAUUGAACGCUGGCGGCAGGCCUAACACAUGCAAGUCGAACGGUAACAGGAAGCAGCUUGCUGCUUUGCUGACGAGUGGCGGACGGGUGAGUAAUGUCUGGGAAACUGCCUGAUGGAGGGGGAUAACUACUGGAAACGGUGGCUAAUACCGCAUAACGUCGCAAGACCAAAGAGGGGGACCUUCGGGCCUCUUGCCAUCAGAUGUGCCCAGAUGGGAUUAGCUUGUUGGUGAGGUAACGGCUCACCAAGGCGACGAUCCCUAGCUGGUCUGAGAGGAUGACCAGCCACACUGGAACUGAGACACGGUCCAGACUCCUACGGGAGGCAGCAGUGGGGAAUAUUGCACAAUGGGCGCAAGCCUGAUGCAGCCAUGCCGCGUGUAUGAAGAAGGCCUUCGGGUUGUAAAGUACUUUCAGCGGGGAGGAAGGUGUUGUGGUUAAUAACCGCAGCAAUUGACGUUACCCGCAGAAGAAGCACCGGCUAACUCCGUGCCAGCAGCCGCGGUAAUACGGAGGGUGCAAGCGUUAAUCGGAAUUACUGGGCGUAAAGCGCACGCAGGCGGUCUGUCAAGUCGGAUGUGAAAUCCCCGGGCUCAACCUGGGAACUGCAUUCGAAACUGGCAGGCUUGAGUCUUGUAGAGGGGGGUAGAAUUCCAGGUGUAGCGGUGAAAUGCGUAGAGAUCUGGAGGAAUACCGGUGGCGAAGGCGGCCCCCUGGACAAAGACUGACGCUCAGGUGCGAAAGCGUGGGGAGCAAACAGGAUUAGAUACCCUGGUAGUCCACGCCGUAAACGAUGUCUACUUGGAGGUUGUGCCCUUGAGGCGUGGCUUCCGGAGCUAACGCGUUAAGUAGACCGCCUGGGGAGUACGGCCGCAAGGUUAAAACUCAAAUGAAUUGACGGGGGCCCGCACAAGCGGUGGAGCAUGUGGUUUAAUUCGAUGCAACGCGAAGAACCUUACCUGGUCUUGACAUCCACAGAACUUUCCAGAGAUGGACUGGUGCCUUCGGGAACUGUGAGACAGGUGCUGCAUGGCUGUCGUCAGCUCGUGUUGUGAAAUGUUGGGUUAAGUCCCGCAACGAGCGCAACCCUUAUCCUUUGUUGCCAGCGGUUAGGCCGGGAACUCAAAGGAGACUGCCAGUGAUAAACUGGAGGAAGGUGGGGAUGACGUCAAGUCAUCAUGGCCCUUACGACCAGGGCUACACACGUGCUACAAUGGCGCAUACAAAGAGAAGCGACCUCGCGAGAGCAAGCGGACCUCAUAAAGUGCGUCGUAGUCCGGAUUGGAGUCUGCAACUCGACUCCAUGAAGUCGGAAUCGCUAGUAAUCGUGGAUCAGAAUGCCACGGUGAAUACGUUCCCGGGCCUUGUACACACCGCCCGUCACACCAUGGGAGUGGGUUGCAAAAGAAGUAGGUAGCUUAACCUUCGGGAGGGCGCUUACCACUUUGUGAUUCAUGACUGGGGUGAAGUCGUAACAAGGUAACCGUAGGGGAACCUGC
RNAcentral lists this ribosomal RNA (1524 nucleotides) under Salmonella enterica subsp. enterica. Its description in RNAcentral is "bacterial SSU rRNA". It matches the Rfam family "Bacterial small subunit ribosomal RNA". The record is from RNAcentral. Lineage: Bacteria; Pseudomonadati; Pseudomonadota; Gammaproteobacteria; Enterobacterales; Enterobacteriaceae.